GACGAACGCUGGCGGCGCGCCUAACACAUGCAAGUCGAACGAGCGAGAGAGAGCUUGCUUUCUCGAGCGAGUGGCGAACGGGUGAGUAACGCGUGAGGAACCUGCCUCAAAGAGGGGGACAACAGUUGGAAACGACUGCUAAUACCGCAUAAGCCCACAGGUCGGCAUCGACCAGAGGGAAAAGGAGCAAUCCGCUUUGAGAUGGCCUCGCGUCCGAUUAGCUAGUUGGUGAGGUAACGGCCCACCAAGGCGACGAUCGGUAGCCGGACUGAGAGGUUGAACGGCCACAUUGGGACUGAGACACGGUCCAA
Molecule: ribosomal RNA, 311 nt
Filed under: uncultured bacterium
Lineage: Bacteria
Description: bacterial SSU rRNA
Rfam family: Bacterial small subunit ribosomal RNA
Source: RNAcentral